GGCCCCAUCGUCUAGUCAGGUCCAGGACGGAAGCCUCUCAAGCUUCAAACAGGGGUUCAAAUCCCCUUGGGGUCA
Molecule: transfer RNA, 75 nt
Filed under: Planctomycetota bacterium
Lineage: Bacteria; Pseudomonadati; Planctomycetota
Description: Planctomycetes bacterium (activated sludge metagenome) tRNA-Glu
Rfam family: tRNA
About the family: Transfer RNA (tRNA) molecules are approximately 80 nucleotides in length.
Source: RNAcentral